CGUAAGUCAACCUGCCUUACCGUCCGGGAUAACUAGCCGAAAGGUUAGCUAAUACCUGAUACGAUCGUUGAGCGGCAUCGCACGACGAUGAAAGCAGCAAUGCGCGGUUAGAGGGGGCUGCGGCCCAUUAGCUAGUUGGUGAGGUAAUGGCCCACCAAGGCAACGAUGGGUAGCUGGUCUGAGAGGACGACCAGCCACACUGGGACUGAGACACGGCCCAG
RNAcentral lists this ribosomal RNA (221 nucleotides) under uncultured bacterium. Its description in RNAcentral is "partial 16S ribosomal RNA". It matches the Rfam family "Bacterial small subunit ribosomal RNA", at positions 116 to 334 of the family's 1533-position model. The record is from RNAcentral.